RNAcentral lists this ribosomal RNA (634 nucleotides) under Entoloma watsonii. RNAcentral describes it as "eukaryotic LSU rRNA". The stretch from base 233 to 386 matches the Rfam family "5.8S ribosomal RNA". The record is from RNAcentral. Lineage: Eukaryota; Fungi; Basidiomycota; Agaricomycetes; Agaricales; Entolomataceae.
GCUGGCUUUUAGGAGCAUGUGCACACCUAUUCCAUUUUUAACUCCCCUGUGCACUUUGUAUAGACCUGAAUAUCUUUCGAGUGUCGGUCAUGGAUGGACACCCGGUUUGAGAACUGCUGCGUUGAAAAGCCAGCUUUUCUUGUCUUUUCAGGUCUGUAUUUCAUCUAUAUACUCCAUAAGAAUGUAUCAGAAUGCUGUUUUGAGGCCCUGGUGCCUUUAAAAGAAUAAAUACAACUUUCAACAACGGAUCUCUUGGCUCUCGCAUCGAUGAAGAACGCAGCGAAAUGCGAUAAGUAAUGUGAAUUGCAGAAUUCAGUGAAUCAUCGAAUCUUUGAACGCACCUUGCGCUCCUUGGUAUUCCGAGGAGCAUGCCUGUUUGAGUGUCAUGAAAUUCUCAACCUUUCUGGCUUUUACAAAGGCAGUCAGGCUUGGAUUGUGGGAGUUGCAGGCUUUCUUAAAGUCGGCUCUCCUUAAAUGCAUUAGCAAAAUCAUUGCUGGAUCAUCAUUGAUAUGAUAAUUAUCUAUAUCAUUGAAGACUGGUUCGGACUUUGCUUAUAACUGUCCUUUCAAAUGGACUACUUGAUAUUUUUGACCUCAAAUCAGGUAGGACUACCCGCUGAACUUAAGCAUAUCA